UCGCAGACAGCAAGCUGCCGGACAUGCAGGCGGGUUGGGAGCAGAUGUGUUCCAACGUGAUGGCGGGGCUGUCGGGCUGCAACAUGAUCUAUGAGGCGG
This is a non-coding RNA of Sulfitobacter sp. EhC04, 99 nucleotides long. NCBI's taxonomy places the organism in Bacteria, Pseudomonadati, Pseudomonadota, Alphaproteobacteria, Rhodobacterales, Roseobacteraceae. The record is from Rfam.